UGGGAGCUAGCUCAGCGGCACGAGCACCUGCUUGAUAAGCAUGAAGUUGUGAGUUCAAUUCUUAGUACCCAA
This 72-nucleotide transfer RNA is filed under the name Cavia porcellus (domestic guinea pig). It matches the Rfam family "tRNA". Rfam says of the family: Transfer RNA (tRNA) molecules are approximately 80 nucleotides in length. The record is from Rfam by way of RNAcentral. Lineage: Eukaryota; Metazoa; Chordata; Mammalia; Rodentia; Caviidae.